AGAGUUUGAUCCUGGCUCAGGAUGAACGCUAGCGGCAGGCUUAAUACAUGCAAGUCGAACGGGAUUCGGGGUAGCAAUACUUUGAUGAGAGUGGCGCACGGGUGCGUAACGCGUAUGCAACCUACCUUUAACAGGGGAAUAGCCCCGAGAAAUCGGGAUUAAUACUCCGUAACAUUGCGGUGUGGCAUCACACUGCACUUAAAGCUGAGGCGGUUAAAGAUGGGCAUGCGUGACAUUAGCUAGUUGGUGAGGUAACGGCUCACCAAGGCAACGAUGUCUAGGGGUCCUGAGAGGGUUAUCCCCCACACUGGUACUGAGACACGGACCAGACUCCUACGGGAGGCAGCAGUAAGGAAUAUUGGUCAAUGGGCGCAAGCCUGAACCAGCCAUGCCGCGUGCAGGAAGACGGCCCUUGGGUUGUAAACUGCUUUUGUCAGGGAAUAAACCCCCGCUCGUGAGCGGGGCUGAAGGUACCUGAAGAAUAAGCAUCGGCUAACUCCGUGCCAGCAGCCGCGGUAAUACGGAGGAUGCAAGCGUUAUCCGGAUUCAUUGGGUUUAAAGGGUGCGCAGGCGGAUUGGUAAGUCAGGGGUGAAAUCCCACAGCUCAACUGUGGAACUGCCUUUGAUACUGUCAGUCUAGAGUAUAGUUGAAGUUGGCGGAAUGUGUCAUGUAGCGGUGAAAUGCUUAGAUAUGACACAGAACACCGAUCGCGAAGGCAGCUAGCUAAGCUAUAACUGACGCUCAUGCACGAAAGCGUGGGGAUCAAACAGGAUUAGAUACCCUGGUAGUCCACGCUGUAAACGAUGAUUACUCGAUGUUGGCGAUACACAGUCAGCGUCUGAGCGAAAGCAAUAAGUAAUCCACCUGGGGAGUACGAUCGCAAGAUUGAAACUCAAAGGAAUUGACGGGGGCCCGCACAAGCGGAGAGCAUGUGNUUAAUUCGAUGAUAACCGCGA
RNAcentral lists this ribosomal RNA (957 nucleotides) under uncultured delta proteobacterium. RNAcentral describes it as "bacterial SSU rRNA". It matches the Rfam family "Bacterial small subunit ribosomal RNA", at positions 8 to 966 of the family's 1533-position model. The record is from RNAcentral. Lineage: Bacteria; Deltaproteobacteria.